This 429-nucleotide ribosomal RNA is filed under the name Gemmatimonadota bacterium. RNAcentral describes it as "Gemmatimonadetes bacterium partial 16S ribosomal RNA". It matches the Rfam family "Bacterial small subunit ribosomal RNA", at positions 355 to 776 of the family's 1533-position model. Lineage: Bacteria; Pseudomonadati; Gemmatimonadota. The record is from RNAcentral.
UAGGGAAUCUUCGGCAAUGGACGAAAGUCUGACCGAGCAACGCCGCGUGAGUGAAGAAGGUUUUCGGAUCGUAAAACUCUGUUGUUAGAGAAGAACAAGGACGUUAGUAACUGAACGUCCCCUGACGGUAUCUAACCAGAAAGCCACGGCUAACUACGUGCCAGCAGCCGCGGUAAUACGUAGGUGGCAAGCGUUGUCCGGAUUUAUUGGGCGUAAAGCGAGCGCAGGCGGUUUCUUAAGUCUGAUGUGAAAGCCCCCGGCUCAACCGGGGAGGGUCAUUGUAAACUGGGAGACUUUAGUGCAGAAGAGGAGAGUGGAAUUCCAUGUGUAGCGGUGAAAUGCGUAGAUAUAUGGAGGAACACCAGUGGCGAAGGCGGCUCUCUGGUCUGUAACUGACGCUGAGGAUCGAAAGCGUGGGGAGCAAACAGG